UACGGGGGGGGCAAGCGUUGUUCGGAAUUACUGGGCGUAAAGGGCUCGUAGGUGGCCAACUAAGUCGGACGUGAAAUCCCUCAGCUUAACUGGGGAACUGCGUCUGAUACUGGUUGGCUUGAGUGCAGGAGAGGAACGCGGAAUUCCAGGUGUAGCGGUGAAAUGCGUAGAUAUCGGAAGGAACAUCAGUGGCGAAAGCGGCUUCCUGGACCAGCACCGACGUUCAGGCACGAAAGCGUGGGGAGCAAACAGG
RNAcentral lists this ribosomal RNA (253 nucleotides) under uncultured bacterium. Its description in RNAcentral is "partial 16S ribosomal RNA". It matches the Rfam family "Bacterial small subunit ribosomal RNA", at positions 524 to 776 of the family's 1533-position model. The record is from RNAcentral.